RNAcentral lists this ribosomal RNA (197 nucleotides) under uncultured bacterium. Its description in RNAcentral is "partial 16S ribosomal RNA". It matches the Rfam family "Bacterial small subunit ribosomal RNA", at positions 328 to 539 of the family's 1533-position model. The record is from RNAcentral.
ACGCUCGACACCUACGGGGGGCAGCAGUGGGGAAUAUUGCACAAUGGGGGAAACCCUGAUGCAGCGACGCCGCGUGAGCGAAGAAGUAUUUCGGUAUGUAAAGCUCUAUCAGCAGGGAAGAAACUGACGGUACCUGACUAAGAAGCACCGGCUAAAUACGUGCAGCAGCCGCGGUAAUCUGAGCGGGCUGGCAAGGC